GAAUUACCUCAUUUGUCCUGACUUAACAUUAUAUCAAAUUAGACAGAAUUAAUUUAAAUCAGGGCAAUGUUUGUCAAGGGGCUCAGAAUAGCUGUCCUGGACUGCACAACAGGUACAUCCUUGGCCAUUUUAGCAUCUCCCUGCAGGUAGGCUUCUGCAAACCACAUUUCACACUUCUUUGGAUAUCCAUCAUCUUCCCGAGUCAGAAUGAUUUCUGGAUUAGCUGGGGAAGAGUGCUGUGUCUCUGUCAAGUAACUGUAGGGUUGCUGCACAGCCAAUUGUGUUCCUGUGCAAUUCAAACAAAAUUUUUAUGGGAAUGGAAAGAAGGAUAUUAUGGUGCUGGAUUACAGUGAGAGGAAAAAGCAAAAAAAAACUGGAAAAAAACUGAGCAGAGGAACACAAGCAAAUAGUGAGAAAAAUAUAUACAUGUGCCUGUAAAUUGCUAAAACUGGUUGCUGUUAUUUUUUGAUCAAUAUGUCAGAAUGCAUUUUGAAAAAUCAUGAUAUAUGCUAUUCUUGUGAAGACUGCAGUGUGGAAGAAAAACGAAAUAAUGGGAGAGGGGCAUAAACUCCAAGAACAAUUUUGUCUUUUAAAGCACAUACCAUAUCCUACAUGUCCAAGUCUGACAGUGUAGGCUUCUCAGAGAUGCCUUUUGGCCAUCAUAAGCCUUAGACAGGAAAACAGGCAGUGGAGUUUGACAGAAUGUGCAGAAAGGGGAAAUUCUGUUAUAGUUUAUUGAGUGAUUGAUGAUAAUUUAAAUCCAGUUCAGAAAAGCUGUUAUGUUCUUGAAUAAUUUCUUGGCUAGUCUGUUAAUAAAAAUGCAUUGUAUAAUGUUAUUGCUGAAUUUCAAAUAAAUUUAAUAACAAACCUGCUUACUGAGGAAGAAUAGAGGCUCCUCCAGAAGACGGAUAUAUGAUAGUAAUUUUUAUGGUAAUGGACUAAGCCUUGCUAAUAUUUGCAAAAGAGAAAGAAACACUGCAAAAUCUUUACUAAUUUCAGGAGUGAGUUAAGAAUUUAGGAGGCACUGUCCCAGGUUUGAAAAGAGAUGACCAACUUUUCCCCAAUGCCUCCCCCGCAUCUGUUUUUUCCGGGGUGGGGGGCGGGACGGCGCGAAGCCGCAGGCGCUGGGCAGCGCCGGAGCAGGGGUGGGGGGAGCGCUCUCCGGACACGCGGCUGCCGCGGGGGACAGCAGGGGGAGUUCUUUGUUCAGGGGCAUUUGGGGCUGGUCCGCGGGGAGCCCGAUUUCGGCCGCCUCCUUUUCUUUUCCUGAGAGGAAGUUUUUUCCCCCCCACAGGACACCUCGCGGAGGACGACUGAGAGAGAGAGACUGACCCAUCUCAGAGCGAGGUAUUCUGUUUUCGGGACUGCCUGUGGGAGAAAGGACUCCUUCAUGGCUGGCUGUGACACCAUCGGCUGCUGGCUGCUGCGGGCGCACGGGGCUGCGAGCAGCUGUUGAACUGCCGGGACAGUCCUGCCUUCCCCCCUCCCCCACGCUCCGGAUUGCUGCGGUUUUCUUCCCCCCCACCUGGGGAAUUGGGACUUUGUUUUGUUUCCUCUGAAAGUUUUUGAUUGCACUAUUUCUUGUUUGUUCAGAUUUUGUUAAUAAAAAGCUGGUUUUUUCUUUUUUCACACUUCCACCUGAAGUUUUCUUAAUUUCUAAGUUUCCCUGUUGAUGCCUUCGUGGCAAAAGGCAUUUGAGGUUAAGGACUGAUGAAAAUAUAUAUCUGUGUGUAUAUUCUAUGUGCAUCUGUGUUUAUGUGCUCCCAUGCACAUAUAUAUGUAUAUAGACACAUAUAUGUUUAAAAGGACAACCCUAAAAGGCUGGAGUCAUGUGUUGGUGAACUCUCUGGCUAGGGUAUAGUCUGUAAUAGGAGGAACUACAAGGGAAUAACCUGCAUACUCAGGUCAAAGAGGAAGUCUGUGGCAGACCUGAAAAAAGACUGAAGAGGUGCUUUUAGCAACAAAUCAAUCCUGUUCUGCUGUUCUUUGUGCAGCAAUGAAGCUGGGGAAAGAUAAUGCUUUGAACCCUUUUUUUACACGAUCUAAGAAAAAAAUAUGGAAGCUCCCAGGCAUUUUCAACACUGUGAAACACCAUCUUGAGAGAGGUCAGCACAGGAGGUGUGCCUGGAGGACAGUCCCUUACAGCUGCCCCUGGAGAAGCCUCGAUGGGUAGCAAAGCAGAUGGCUCAGCUCUGUCAAAGAAAGUCUCCUAAAAACACCAGAUUAUUGAGGCAAUGAGGUUCUGGCUUGCUAACUACAUCUGAGAUGCUGAUGGGCAUGGCUCUCUUUCAGCCCUGCCCUUUCUGCAAGACAAAAUAGAAUUUUAAUCCUCCCAAGAAAAUUUUAUAGUGGAAGUAUGUGAAAAUGAGGACAGCAACACAGAUGGAUGUUUGCUAAUAGCUGUUUGGAUUUGGCAAUGUAGGAGGGCUUUUCUAGCUUUACAGUCCCUUAGUAUUUGUAAAAUUACUUUAUAUAAAAAGAAAAAAAACAACGCCCUGUGGGUGGUAUGCAGGGGUUGUGCUAAAAAUGAAUAAUUUAAAAUAAUGAAUGAUUAACCCCUAAUUUGCCAGUAGGUAAUUUAAAUUUCAGGUGUGCACUAAAAAAAUGUGAAAAUAUUACAAUUUGGGAUUGCAAUUUGUGUUCUUCAAGUGAGUCCAAAUCUGAACUGGCACUAUGUGCCACUAAGAACAGCAAAUCUCAAAACAGUAUGAAUAUGUGCAUUGGACUUAAUGGACUUUCUUUUCAAAGAAGACAAAGUGACUUUAAAAUGGGAACUGCAAGUGCACUCUACCUCCUGGGAAAACAGCUCUUACUUUCCCUUUAUAUAAAGGUCAUUGUAAAUUGGGAAGUUUAAUUCUUGUCCUGCAUGUUUUGUGCCACCAGUCAUGGUCCCUGGCUGAUAAAUAAGAAAAGUGAACUAGUUCUUGAAGAGAGGGAGUGAACAGUAUAAAAUUGGCCAGGUGUUUCUCAGGAGGAGAAACACCUGGCUGCAGUGGGCUUUUUAUCUAUUUUGAAGUAGAUAUAUUUCUAAGCUACUCGUUACUUUAGUACAAAGAAUGACAAAUCGUAUAUUCAGUGAGGGAUCAAAGGGAUGACACAGGAAAAGAGAGCCUAGAUGCAGGAUUGCCAUUUCUGGGUUAAUGGAUUACCUGAAAACACAGGCUGCUAAGUUUGGAUGUAGCACCUCAAGAAAUAAAAUUGUUGUUGCCCAAA
Long non-coding RNA from Pseudopipra pipra, 3213 nucleotides. RefSeq lists it as uncharacterized. The transcript is spliced from 3 exons. NCBI's taxonomy places the organism in Eukaryota, Metazoa, Chordata, Aves, Passeriformes, Pipridae. The record is from RefSeq and is a predicted model, not a curated record.